Long non-coding RNA from Suricata suricatta (meerkat), 372 nucleotides. RefSeq lists it as uncharacterized. The transcript is spliced from 3 exons. The record is from RefSeq and is a predicted model, not a curated record. Lineage: Eukaryota; Metazoa; Chordata; Mammalia; Carnivora; Herpestidae.
GGUGGGAACUCUUCAAGUUCUGAUAUGAUAAAGACCAUUAGAUGCCCGGAUAUCACAGAGCCAGAACCAAACGGAGUCGGGACUUGAACCCACAGCUGUUCAUUUCCAGAACACAGGGCCUCAAGUCACACCAAGCCUAUUUGUGGAUACGCAAACUUUUCUCCACUAAACUACAAUCUUCUUACAUCCGGCCUUGCCAUGCCUCACCUUCCACCUGUACUUCUUCACUGUGCUCUAGCCUCAGAGGCCCUGUGGGCUUUGUGCUAUCAGAAUGGGAAGGAGAAACAAGAGGAAAGAGAAAGCUGGCUGGCUGUUUUCAGGGGAAUGACUACCACACAAGACAAUUCUAAGAAUAAACGAAAAUAGUGCAUA